This 132-nucleotide small RNA is filed under the name Escherichia coli. Its description in RNAcentral is "RtT sRNA". It matches the Rfam family "RtT RNA". Rfam says of the family: This family represents a bacterial cis-regulatory element known as RtT RNA. Lineage: Bacteria; Pseudomonadati; Pseudomonadota; Gammaproteobacteria; Enterobacterales; Enterobacteriaceae. The record is from RNAcentral.
AUUUGCACUCAUCGGGGAAGGGUGAGAACCUUCGACUAAGGUUCGAUUCGAGCGAAAGCGAGAGAACGUUGCCACAGGCAACGGCCCGAAGGGUGAGGAGCGAAGCGACGAAUAAUCCUUCCCCCACCACCA